This 957-nucleotide ribosomal RNA is filed under the name Acrobeloides bodenheimeri. RNAcentral's name for it is "partial 18S ribosomal RNA". It matches the Rfam family "Eukaryotic small subunit ribosomal RNA", at positions 1 to 954 of the family's 1831-position model. The record is from RNAcentral. Lineage: Eukaryota; Metazoa; Nematoda; Chromadorea; Rhabditida; Cephalobidae.
AAAUUUCUUUUUUUUAUAAAAGUUAAAGCAGCAUGUCCAACGACAAACACCAUGACCAUGAAACCGCGAUGGCUCAUUAUAACAGCUAUAAUUUACUUGAUCUUGACACUAUCCUACUUGGAUAACUGUGGUAAUUCUAGAGCUAAUACAUGCAUUAAAGCUCUGACCUCACGGGAAGAGUGCAUUUAUUAGAACAAAACCAAGCGGCUUCGGCUGUUUCUGGUUGACUCAUAGUAACUGAGCUGAUCGCAUGGUCUUGCACCGGCGACGUGUCUUUCAAGUAUCUGCCGUAUCAACUUUCGAUGGUAGUGUAUCUGACUACCAUGGUGAUCACGCGUAACGGAGAAUAAGGGUUCGGCUCCGGAGAGUUCGCCUGAGAAAUCGCGAACACAUCUAAGGAAGGCAGCAGGCGCGAAAAUUACCCACUCUCAGCACGAGGAGGUAGUGACGAAAAAUAACGAGACCGUUCUCUUUUGAGGCCGGUCAUCGGAAUGGGUACAAUUUAAACCCUUUAACGAGUAUCUAUGAGAGGGCAAGUCUGGUGCCAGCAGCCGCGGUAAUUCCAGCUCUCAAAGUGCAUAGAAUUAUUGCUGCGGUUAAAAAGCUCGUAGUUGGAUCUGUGCCAUAGGACGGGGUCUACCUUCGGGUACGUACUCCGCUCCUAGGCUUUUUGCUGGUUUUCCCGUCGUAGCCUUCACUGGUUGCGGCGGGUGGCUGGCGAGUUUACUUUGAGAAAAUCAAAGUGCUCAACACAGGCGUAUCGCUUGAAUGAUUGUGCAUGGAAUAAUAGAAAAGGAUUUCGGUCCUCUUUUAUUGGUUUUGUGGACUGAGAUAAUGGUUAACAGGGACAAACGGGGGCAUUCGUAUCGCUGCGUGAGAGGUGAAAUACAUGGACCGGAAAAAGACGCCAUAUGCGAUUUUUCAAAUUAAAAAAAAAAUAGAAAAAAGAAAAAAAAA